This 330-nucleotide ribosomal RNA is filed under the name uncultured eukaryote. Its description in RNAcentral is "partial 18S ribosomal RNA". It matches the Rfam family "Eukaryotic small subunit ribosomal RNA", at positions 1470 to 1796 of the family's 1831-position model. The record is from RNAcentral.
CCCUUAGAUGUUCUGGGCCGCAUGCGCGCUACACUGAUGCAUUCAACGAGUCUAAAACCUGGUCUGAUAGGGCUGGGUAAUCUUUUGAAUGUGCAUCGUGAUUGGGAUAGAUGAUUGCAAUUCUUCAUCUUCAACGAGGAAUGCCUAGUAAACGCAAGUCAUCAGCUUGCAUUGAUUACGUCCCUGCCCUUUGUACACACCGCCCGUCGCUCCUACCGAUUGAAUGUUCCGAUGAAUACCAUGGACUGAGAGUAUGAAUGGGUUCGCCUAUUUCUGCUUCUCGGGAAGUGGAGUAAAUCUUAACAUUUAGAGGAAGGAGAAGUCGUAACA